GAUGAACGCUGGCGGCGUGCCUAAUACAUGCCAGUCGAGCGAACAGACGAGGAGCUUGCUCCUCUGACGUUAGCGGCGGACGGGUGAGUAACACGUGGAUAACCUACCUAUAAGACUGGGAUAACUUCGGGAAACCGGAGCUAAUACCGGAUAAUAUAUUGAACCGCAUGGUUCAAUAGUGAAAGACGGUUUUGCUGUCACUUAUAGAUGGAUCCGCGCCGCAUUAGCUAGUUGGUAAGGUAACGGCUUACCAAGGCAACGAUGCGUAGCCGACCUGAGAGGGUGAUCGGCCACACUGGAACUGAGACACGGUCCAGACUCCUACGGGAGGCAGCAGUAGGGAAUCUUCCGCAAUGGGCGAAAGCCUGACGGAGCAACGCCGCGUGAGUGAUAAAGGUCUUCGGAUCGUAAAACUCUGUUAUUAGGGAAGAACAAAUGUGUAAGUAACUAUGCACGUCUUGACGGUACCUAAUCAGAAAGCCACGGCUAACUACGUG
Molecule: ribosomal RNA, 497 nt
Filed under: uncultured bacterium
Lineage: Bacteria
Description: partial 16S ribosomal RNA
Rfam family: Bacterial small subunit ribosomal RNA
Source: RNAcentral